RNAcentral lists this ribosomal RNA (372 nucleotides) under uncultured organism. Its description in RNAcentral is "bacterial SSU rRNA". It matches the Rfam family "Bacterial small subunit ribosomal RNA", at positions 526 to 896 of the family's 1533-position model. The record is from RNAcentral.
CGUAGGUGGCAAGCGUUGUCCGGAUUUACUGGGCGUAAAGGGCGUGCAGGCGGUCUGUUAAGUCUAGGGUGAAAGCUCCCGGCUCAACUGGGAGAGGUCCUUGGAUACUGGCGGACUUGAGGGAUGCAGAGGAAAGUGGAAUUCCCGGUGUAGUGGUGAUAUGCGUAGAUAUCGGGAGGAACACCAGUGGCGAAGGCGGCUUUCUGGGCAUUACCUGUCGCUGAGACGCGAAAGCGUGGGGAGCGAACCGGAUUAGAUACCCGGGUAGUCCACGCUGUAAACGAUGGACACUAGGUGUAGGGGGUAUCGACCCCCUCUGUGCCGCAGCUAACGCAAUAAGUGUCCCGCCUGGGGAGUACGGCCGCAAGGCUA